AGAGUUUGAUCCUGGCUCAGGACGAACGCUGGCGGCGUGCUUAACACAUGCAAGUCGAACGAGGUUCAACGAGAAGCUUGCUUCUCAUUGAACCGAGUGGCAAACGGGUGAGUAACGCGUAAACAACCUGCCCUACGGAUGGGGACAACAGCUGGAAACGGCUGCUAAUACCGAAUACGAUCAUGAAGCCGCAUGACUUUAUGAUGAAAGGAUGGCCUCUAUUUAUAAGCUAUCGCCGGAGGAGGGGUUUGCGUCUGAUUAGCUAGUUGGAGGGGUAACGGCCCACCAAGGCGAUGAUCAGUAGCCGGUCUGAGAGGACGAACGGCCACAUUGGAACUGAGACACGGUCCAGACUCCUACGGGAGGCAGCAGUGGGGAAUCUUCCGCAAUGGGCGAAAGCCUGACGGAGCAACGCCGCGUGAGUGAUGACGGCCUUCGGGUUGUAAAGCUCUGUUAUAUGGGACGAACGUGCCUGUGGUCAAUACCCAUAGGCAGUGACGGUACCGUAAGAGAAAGCCACGGCUAACUACGUGCCAGCAGCCGCGGUAA
This 549-nucleotide ribosomal RNA is filed under the name uncultured bacterium. RNAcentral's name for it is "bacterial SSU rRNA". It matches the Rfam family "Bacterial small subunit ribosomal RNA", at positions 8 to 523 of the family's 1533-position model. The record is from RNAcentral.